UUUAAGGCUGAAUAAUACCUUAUUUUAUAUAUCUAUAUUUACAUAUAGAUAUGCAUAUAUAUCACAUUUUCUCACUUGCUCAUUUGUGGAUGGACACAGGUUGUUUUCAUGUCUUGGCUAUCGUGAAUUAUGCUGCAAUGAACACGGGAGUGAAAAUAUCUCUUUGAGAUAGUGACUUUAGUUCCUUCGGAAGUACAACCAGAAGUCCACCAAUAGCUGUUAAACUAAUAAAUUCAGUAAAGUUGGAGGAUACAAAAUUAACAUACAAAUUCAGCUGCAUUUCUAUGCACUAAGAACAAACUAUAUGAAAAAAUAAGAAAACAAUCACAUUUAUAAUAGCAUCAAAAUAAUAAAAUGCUUAGGAAUAAAUGUAACCAAAGAGGUGAAAGAUCUGUACACUGAAAAUCAUAAAAUGCUGAAGAAAUUAACUGAAGAUGACAUAAAGUAAAUGGAGAGAUAUUCCAUGUACAUUGAUUGGAAAAAUUAAUAUUGUUAAAAUGUUCAUACUAUCUAAAAAAUCUACAGAUUUACACAAUAUCUAUCAAAAUUCCAAUGCUGUUUUUUUCACAGCAGUAAGAAAACCAAUUAUAAAAUUCACGUGGAACCAUAAAAGACCCCAAAUAGCCAAAGCAAGAAAACCAGAGCCAAAGGCAUCAUACUAUCUGACUUCAAAAUCGACUACAAAGGUAUCAAGUAGCACAAUGCUGGCAUAAAAACAGACAUCUAACUCCAUGGAACAGAAUAGAGAGUCAGGAAACAAACCCACAUGUUUACAGGCAAAGACUUUAAAAAAACAUGUGCCAAGAGUACACCAAGAGAAAAAGGUAGUAUCUUUAAUAAAUGGUGGAAUGGUGGUAGGAAAACGGAACCCUUGUACUACACACAAAUGUCAACUAAAAAUUCGUUAAAGAUUUAAACAUAAGAUCAGAGACUGUAAAACUCUUAAGAGAAAACCUGGGAAAUACUCCUAGACACUGGUCUUGGCAAUGAUAUUUUUGAAUUUCACACCAAUAGCACAGGCAACGAGUGCUAAAAGAAACUAGCAGGACUACAUCAAACUAAGUUACCACUCAAUAGAAAAAAGAAAGGAAAAAAGAAAAAACAUACAGAAUAGAACAUAUUUGCAAACCAUAUAUCUGAUAAGUGCUUAAUAUCCAAAAUAUAUACGGAGCUCAUAUAACUCAAUAGCAACACAACAAAAUGAAAUACAACAAAACUGAUUUUUAAAAAAUGAGCGAAAGACCUGAACAGACAUCCCUCAAAAGAAGACAUUUAAAUGACCAUCAAGUAUGUGAAAGCAUGUUCUGCAUCACUAAACUUCAGAGAAAUGCAAAUGAAAACCAUAAUGAGAUAUCACCUCACACAGAAUGAUGAUUACCAAAAAGUCAAAAGAUAACAAGCGUUGGCAAGGAUGUAGAGAAAAGGGAACGCUUAGACACCAUUGGAAGGAACAUGAAUUACUAUAGUCAUCAUAGAACACAGGACAGUUUCCUCAAAAAGAAAAAUCAUGAGUUUCCAAUGGCUUUUAAGUACAUAGAUCAGCCCAUCAGCUCCACCACUUGCUGACUGUGUCAUCUUAGGAACUUUAUUAGCCUCUUCGUGCGUUAACAUUUCUCAAUUGCCUAUGCGGAAGAUAGUAGUAACUAAUUUACAUUAUUCUGAGAAUGAAAUUGAUAAUCCAACAAAAUCACCUAAAACAAUAUCUGAUACCCAAAAUGAAUGCUCAAUGUCUAUGAACCUUUCUGUUGAUCAUCACCAUCAUCAUCAUCACUAUCAAUGUAUGCCAGUAUGAUAAGCAUAAACACUCCAUAUCCAAUUGAGUAUUAAUUUGUCCAUCUUGUGUAAGACCAUAAACUUCUGAAAACAAAGCUUUUCCUUUCAUAGUGUAUUUUCUGUAUUUAGCACAAAAACUAUCACAUUAUUUGAUAAAUAAAAGAAAUGGUUUGUUUCACCUGGACUUCUGAUUCUAAAUCCUCUUUGGGAAAAAAAUAGUUCUAUUUUAGUAAGAGUAGCUAAAUAAUUGUGGAUUUUAAGAUUUAAAACAUCAAGGUAUUGCCGUGCUUCACUUUUUGUCCAUAAAUGGUGUUCUGUUCUUAGAUUUUCAGAAGGGGCAACAAGGACCCUCUGACUAUCCUCUGUCAUCCAUUCCCUUCUCCCCUUAUUCCUCACCUUAAUUCCUUUUCUGGGCACUAGUGUAUAGUCCUGUUCAAUCUUCUUUUUUGCUUCUAAGUAGAUAUUGUGCCCUCCAGGAACAAAGAAAGUUCCUCUUGAAAUACUUUCCAUCAAGAGCUCUGAAAGCUGCUUAAGCUCAGCCUGGCAAUAUUUGGCAGAUGCCUCUUCAUUCUGCAGCACAAAGUCUUUCUUCUUUUUCUCCAUGGUGUCCUGCCAGAAAAGUGUAGGGGAAAAAACAGUAGAAAGAAGCUGUUAGAAGGGAAGGUCCAACUGUGAUCCUCUUGGAAGAAGUAGUCUGAUGGCCUCAGAGCGGACUGAGAUAUGGUGUAGACCAAGAGUCAGAAGACUUGUUUUAAUUCCAGUUUGAAUCAGUUCUCUGCAUGGCCUGUGGAAAGUUCAUGAACUCUAUCUUUCCUUCAGCAAAAGAUGAUCAAUGGUGAUCUAACUAUGAAAAAUAAGCAAGGGACAAUUCAGUUGUGGCAGUAGUAGUGUCCUUAGAGAGCAUGGAUUGCUAUGGAUAAAAUGUGUACACAGAAAAUCAACCCUUCUGGUAUAAUCACAUCCCAGUAAUGACUUGAUUGUACUCUGAACAGAGCUUGGAAUUCUUUUGAAAUUCUUCCAAAAGGGAUCUUAACAUGUGAAGAUAUGGGAACAUUAUUAUUUUUUGCUUACACUUGUAAGCUAUGAUUGCAUCUGGGUUUUCUCAAUAUGUACUAAGAGAUUUCUGUCACUUGUGGACUGGUAAUAGACAGACUGAAAGAAGGUUAUUCAAUAACAGUGCCAACGGCAGAUUUAAGAUAUCUCCCAGGAUUUCCCCUCCGAAGUUUCCACACUCUCCAUAGUCCCUGGGCUUAUUAAUACGAUGGAGUGUACUCCAGUGUUUAGGUAACAUUAUAUGAUAUCUGUUGACUUUUAGAGUAUUCAAGUAGUACUGAGUAUACUCAAGAAAGUAUGUAAGAAUUACCAUAUCACAUGAGCUCUUUGAAAGCAGAGCUUUUUUGUUUACCUUGAGGCAGAAGAGAAAGCCAGAGAGAUUAGAAACAAGAGAAACAUUUGAUGCAUCAUUGCUGACUUGAAGAUGGAGAGAGGUUCCCCUGAGCAUACAGGAGUGCUCCAUGAAGACUGCAAUGGCUUCCCUCUCACAGGCCGUGUGCACGUCCAGCAGGUCCUGGAGCGUGUCUGUGGGGAAUUUCACUUGCUGGGCCAUCCGCUGGCUGUAGUGGUCAGCUGCCCUCUGCACGGCCGCUGAGUUCUCACGCUGGGCCAGAGCUUCCAUUGCAUUCUCCAGACAAGGAACCGCUCCACUGUUGAUGGCAUCCAGGUAGGUCUCCACCAGCAUCCCCAGCCCUGAAUGAUUUAGAAAAUUUAGGGAAUAGAUAGAAAGUUUUCACUCAUUGUUUUACAAGUGGUAUGUAUCAUCAUUCUAAAAAUCACAAAAAAUUCCAUUUAACAUGAAUUUUCCCUCCUUCUCCUUCUUUUAAUUCUACUAUUACUACUACUACUACUUUUUACGAAGCCACUUUCUUACAAUAACGUCCCUGUUGUUCCUAUUUAUUCUUUCUAUUUUGUUCUCCAACUCAUCACAUUACAAAGUUAAUUACUAAUCACAAACAAUAUGGAGCAAGGGUUUCUUGAAAAAGAAUACUUUUCUGCUUAAGUAAAAAUUUAAAAACAUUUAUUCAGCAAAGUAAAUUACAUCAUUUGUGGAUCAUGAUUCUGAAUGUAAACGCAGGUGCCUUUAUAAAAACACUUAAGAGAGUGCCAGAACAUUAAACCCUGUGAGAAGCUCUUUUCUGUACAGAGCACUAAAAGACUGCACAGGUAACAUGUUCAUGAAGCCAGCUUUGUUUAUAAGAUUAUGCUGAAUUUUGUAUCUCAAAAUCUCAUUAGGCUUGCAGAAACUCAUGACAUGCUACUUACUUUCUGUUUUGUGUAAAUUCACAACACAUCUUUUAUACCCUCACUGAGAAAAACAUCCUUCACUUAUCCCACACCUCAUAACACAGAUGUUAUCUCCUUACCAGCUGUUCGUGCUUAUAAGCUUAGUUUACUAGUUUUUGAGAUACGGUAGGCCUCAAUAAACACCCAUAUAGGGAAAUAGACUCACGGUUUCCAGUGACAAGGAUUCCCUCCCUCAGGGUCUUGGUCUUUGCAUGGGUGAGGAUAUAAGAACAGAAGUUUUCUGAUUGCACCUGAAAAUUACUAUCCAGUUGGUCUUCGGGUACUUCUUCAACAUGGAGUAAGAGAUUUUUGUCAUUUGUUGGCCGGUCAAAGACAAAGCACUUCCGUUUUGGAAAGAAAUGCCUGAUCCACUCCCUGGGCUUGUUAGAAUUUUGGAUUUGGGGAUUCUUCCCUGCAGAAUUAGUGAAAAAAGUGACUACUGAAGAACAGCUUUUAAGCGAGCCUGAAGAUUUUCAUUUCCAAAGUUCCUUGCAUCAACCACUACAGUCUCUCAUGUCUGUGAAUCUAUGCAACAAAACCUCUCAUGCAACCAAACUUAUGCUAAUCUACUUGAGUUAUGAAAAGUCAAUUUCUGCACAAAGCAGAGUCAGAAAGUUACUUCUGGAAAGGAAGGGAAGGCCUCCACCUCAAGUGAAGGAAUUUAUGGUUGGUUUCCUCAGCCGCUGUAUGAUGUCUGGUAGACUGAUGAUUUUUUAAAUGUUUGCUGAAUUAUGAUUAACUAAAAUAUGAUAAGAAGUACUUUCUUUAAAAAUUGUAUAUAUUUAAGGUGUUAUAACAUGAAGUUUCGAUGUGCAUGUACAUAGUGAAAUUACUACUAAGUAAGCAAAUUAUAUAUCCAUUACCUUCUAUACUUUUCAUCCCUUUUUUUUGUGGUAAGAGUACCUAAAAUCUAAUCUCUGUAAAUUUUAAAUGUAAAAUACAAUAUCGUUAAGGAUAGUUCUCCUGCAGUGUAUUAGAUCCCUAGACUUUCCCACCCUAUAUAACUUCAAGUUUGUACCCUUCACCCACAUGUCCUCAUUUCCUUCCUCACCGUGCCCUGGUAACCACUGUUCUACUUUCUGUUUCUAUGUAUUUGAUGUUUUAAAAUAGAAUCCAUAUAGAAAAGAGGUCCUGUCGUAUUUUUCUUCCUGUUUCUGGCUAAUAUUACAUAGCAUCAUGGACUUCCUCAAUCUUACUGUCCCCAUGUCAGAAAUGAAAUGUAGGGCUUAAAAAUAAAGUAAUGCUAGAAACAAGGACAAGAUGCGGCUGGGGAAAAUGUCGGAAAGAGACAGAAAAUACUCAGGUCAGAUUAUAUUAGGUCUAACAUUGUCUUGCAGAGGGAUUCUGUGGCAUGUAUCAGUUAUUCAAAACAAAUAUUUGUUGAAAGGAUGAACAAAUGAACAAACAUGGAUAUUGAUUGUAGGUGCCAGCAGGUAUCCACUCUGCUAAAUAUAAUCUGUUUAACAAACGUAUAAUAGAUUGACAACAUAUUAUAUGAGACUGUAGAAUGAAGUAGGUGAUGUUAUGAAAACAGUAAAAUAAAAGGUUUGACAGUCCUAUUGGAA
Molecule: non-coding RNA, 5678 nt
Organism: Macaca mulatta (Rhesus monkey)
Lineage: Eukaryota; Metazoa; Chordata; Mammalia; Primates; Cercopithecidae
Source: RefSeq, a predicted model, not a curated record